CACCGGCGGCUCGAGUGGUGGCCACUUUUAUUGGGUCUAAAGCGUCCGUAGCCGGCUUGGCAAGUCCCCUGGGGAAUCUGGCGGCUUAACCGUCAGGCGUCCAGAGGAUACUGCCAGGCUUGGGACCGGGAGAGGUGAGAGGUACCUCAGGGGUAGGGGUGAAAUCUUGUGAUCCCUGAGGGACCACCAGUGGCGAAGGCGUCUCACUAGAACGGGUCCGACGGUCAGGGACGAAAGCUGGGGGCACGAACCGG
RNAcentral lists this ribosomal RNA (254 nucleotides) under uncultured microorganism. RNAcentral describes it as "partial 16S ribosomal RNA". It matches the Rfam family "Archaeal small subunit ribosomal RNA", at positions 474 to 727 of the family's 1478-position model. The record is from RNAcentral.